CUUGCUCCUUUUGGUACAACUGCUUAAGUAAUGGACAGUCAUGAAUUGACAAAGUAGAAAGAGAGAUAGGUAGACCCUCCUCUGGCAAGCUCUCAAGACAAGGGCAAUCUUCAAUAUAUAGAGAUUCAAGUGAAGUGAGGUGGAGAAGACCCUUGCAGUUUAUUUUUUUUAGGCAGGAACAAUUUUUCAAAUCAAGAGAGUUAAUACUUGAUGGCAGCAUACUCUCCUCUGGAAAGGACUCGAAGAUUUCAAAAUCAUCACUAAGACUGAAUUGUUUCAGAGAUUUGAGUUGGAACAAACCCCACUCCUCUAUUGAAGCCAUCAAAUUAGGGCAUCUUUCUAUUCGGAGGCUGCCUAGGUUGGAAGGCAACUGCCUCCCGAAAAAUGAUUCCAGCAAUGGACAAUCGUACAACACGAGAGAAUUAAGAUUGGUGAACAAGUGUAGUGCAAAAGGCAAGGAGGAAGAGUGCCAACUUGUUAUGGUUAAAGUGCGAAGAGAAUUACAGCUACGCAUAUCCAAAGAGGACCAUUCUAGAUUUUGACCAAAGAAGUCUUCAACUUCCAAUUCUUCAAGAAAGGUACUGUUAAAUAGAAUUUUCUCUAGGGCGGAUUCAAUGAUCUGAGUUCCACAAAGGAUGACCUUUUUCAAGUUGGAUGACAAUUUAUUUAUCAAAAUGCCAUCACAUCUCUUUAGUUCUAGCUGAAUGAUAUUAUAAGCAAUGGGAAUUGAAGCCUCCAAAUCUUGGCAAUCAAUUAUCUCCAAUUUUUGCAAGCAAGGAAGAUGUUGAGGCAGUUUCCUUUUCAACUUGGGACAGUAUCUUAUUGAAAGCUCUUUCAGCAAAGGGAAACCUUCAAUACAUAACCAAUCUUUCCAUUCAGACAUAUUCUCAAACCGCAAAGUUUCAAGGGAUCUAAAUGUAAAAUUUGAUGAAUUAUAGCGGCAAAACUCUGAACCAAUGAUACCUAUUCCAUGACAGCCUGAAAUGGAAAGCUUCUUGAGAGAUGGGAACUGCUUAAUUUGUGGCAACUUGGAACAGAGUUUACAUCCCAACAAAUGAUGAUCCCCAAGCCAAUUUGGAAAGCUACUACCUCUGUAGUCAUUGAUGGUGAGCCUCACGAGGUUACUAUUUGGUUGAAGAGCCUCCAAGAUAGAGACAUGUGCUUCAGUUUCUGAGUCAUCUAUUUCUCUCCAUUCAUCGUACGACAAACUUAAUUCUUCUAAAUGUUUCUUAUCUUUCAAAUUUGCUGCCAUAGCAUCUGCUGGAUCAGCCACAUUUUUCAACCCUGAAAUUCGAAGUCUUCCUCUAAGGUGGUUGAGUUCUGCCAACUGCUUAAUAUCAAAUCCACGCUGCUCUCCCACAAUAAAAUCAGUCAGCAUCUCAAGGUUGAUUAACCCUCUCAUCUCCUUUGGCAUCUUCUUAAUAUGGGUGCCUUUCAAAUUAAGAUGACGUAAAUUGAUGAGUUUGCAAAAAUUUGGCGGGAGCUCAAGUAGUUUAAAACAUUCUUCCAGUAAGAGCGUAUGCAAAUUAUACAACAUACAAAUGGAAUUAGGUAAGCUUGUAAUCUCGGUGUAAGAAAGGUCUAGAUAGCGCAGAAGCUUUAAGUUUCUUAUCUCAUCAGCUAGCUCUGAGAGAUUGCAACCAUUGAAAGAUAACUUCCGUAAAUAUUGUACUCUUGAAUACAAAUUAUACUGCACAUUGGUGGAUAUCUUAAAGCGUUUAUCACCAUAGCCUUGUGCUUCUACCAUCAGACUCCGUACUCCUUUAAUGUUAUGAAUCUGCUUUAGUUUUCUAUCACCAUCUUCCAAAUCAAGGCAGCACCAAAUGUGACGUGUCCUUUGAGGGAUAUCUUGCACUUUCACACCCUCUAUUCGUAAGCAGAAUUCUCCUGACAUUGAUGUCGCUAAAUCAUGGACAAGAUCAUGCAUGAUGAAAUUGUACUUACCAGCCCAGAAUGGCAUAAUUGCUGAUUGUUGGAAAAACGACAUUGACACUAGAUCAUUGAAGAAUUUAUUACCCAACUCUUCUUCAUCUUUGGCUAUUCCCUUUAUCAAACCUUCUGCCAUCCAAAGUUUGAUUAAUCCAUCCUUUUCAAACUCAUAACCCUUGGGAAAUAUAGAACAAUAAGCAAAACAAUGCUUCAGAUUGGAAGGGAGGUUAAGGUAACUCAUUCUUAGAACGGAAUAAAUGUUGCUGUCACUCUCAGGUAAACGCCACAAAUCAGUCUCUAAUAUCUUAACCCAUUCAUUUUCAGAGAAUCUUCUUUGCAAGAGAAUCCCCAAUGUUUUCAGAGCUAAAGGCGACCCCCCACAUUUUUCUACUAUUUUCAUACCAAUCGAUUCAAGAUUUGGAUAUUCAAACAUAUUCCUGCCUUCAAAAGCAUGUCUUACAAAUAAACUCCAAGAGUCACUCUCCUCCAAUUGCCUUAAAUGAAGUAUCUGGGUGUAUCUCAUGACUGAUGCAACUUCUUUAUCAUGUGUUGUCACUAUCAUCCUCCCUCGAGAAGGUUCCUGGUUAAAAAUAAGUAGUAACCGCUCCAGCAUAUUGCAAUGUUUGAUCCAUACAUCAUCUAGAACAAGCAAAUAUUUCUUCCCUGCUAGCCGCUGUUGCAAUUGACGUUUAAGUAUUUCCUUGUCGUCAUCAUAUAAUGUUGAUAAAGAAAUUGACUUGAGAACUGAUUUGAUGAGAUGACGAUAAUUAAAAGAUUCUGAAACAUGGAUCCAUCCUAUAACUUCAAAUUGAUCCCUCGUCAUGUGGUCAUUGUAAACAAGCUGCGCAAGGGUUGUCUUACCUAUCCCGUCCAGACCCACUAUACUGAUUAUGGAUACCCGGUUGUAACCGUGACUGUCUGAAAGUAAAAAUUCAAUUAUUUCUUCUUUCUCAUGCUCUCUACCAUAUAUCACAGAUUCAGCCACCAAAGAUGCAGUUGAAAAUCUGCUGGCUCCAUCUUCAUAAUAAUAACGACUUAAUUCGUGAAGUCCCAAUAUAUUCUUUUGAUCUGCAAGAAACUCUAGCCUCUUGAGCAAUACUUUAAUCCUAGAUUCAAAUCGAUUGAUAGAACCUGAAAGAAAGCGUUGUAUCUUUCCCUUUUGUUUUGCAGCGUCACUAGCAAUGAUGUCCAAUAGUUGAUCUAAUUCGUAUACCUCAUUACUCGCAUCAUCAACCCAAUUCUUCACGUUUUGAUUCUCGUACUUCUUUGUCUCUGCGUCAUCCAGCACUUGAUUGAUAGAAACCAAUGUGAUUUCAAGUUUUUUCACAAGCUUUUCAUGGAGGUAGUCACUGAAAUCUGUUGAAGCUAAUCUCUCACAAAUCAAUUGAAUGACGGGGGAAAGAAAUGCCCGACGAACAACAACCUCUGCCAUGAUAUCAAUUAAUUCAACAAAACCAAAAUGAUCAGGCUAUAUGCAAGAAGAUCAGUUUGGUCAACGAAUCCCCACACCUACCAUAUUACCAUCAUGUUUAUUUAUUCAUUCAUUCAUUUGUUUAUUGUUACAAUACCAACCACCUCAACUCUAUUCACUUGUUUCAACCAUAUAUUCUUUUUUUAAGGGGUGAAUAUUUUGUUAUUCACUGCAUUUUAAAAUGAUAAACUUAUGCCAAAUAACACAAAGAGUGGGAAUAAACUAGCCUAGGCUAGAAGUUGUUAGUCUAUCAUAUGCUUAUGUUUUUGUUUGAGUUUAACCUAUUAUAAAGUCUAGUAUGAUAUGUUAGUCUACUUAAAUGAAUUUCUUUUCAUAUAAAAGUAUUUAAAUAAGUAAUCUGACUUGUAUUUGUUUACACAUAAAAUAAUUAUCUUGUUAGCCAAAGUCGACUGAUAGACAAUCAUAGGUUAGGCAUGUUCCCCCCUCCCCCCCAUGGAAGAUUAGGCGAGUGUUAUUGCAACCCAACGAGGACCAUCUGAUUCUUUCUCAGUCUAAUGCUUAGUAGAACUGGACAAUGAGGUACGAAACUAACGAUCCUUGUUUUUAGCACCAUUAACCAGAAAGAGCGAUGAGUAAGGAGUUAUGUUUCAAGGAAAAUUGUGCACUAUGGACGUUAUCAACAUAUCAAGUUGUCAAGUUGAAAGAUGUCAGAUGAACAAGGGGCGCCCCAAACCCCUCAAAGAGGAGAAAACUAACGCACUACAUGUCAUGUCAUGUCCUUCCCUCUCCUCCAAAAUCCAACUCGCACAAAAUCCACAAAUUCAUGUGUUAUUUUGUAUUAAAAAAAAAAAUCUAAAUUUUUAGUUUUCGAAGACAGAGAUGCUCUAAAUUCCAAGUUUUUUUAAGUUAAAAAAAACCAGACCUCCCCUGAGUCCUCUUUAAAUAACAUAAACACUCACUCUAGUUUUAUAUUAGACACAAACAUCUCUUAAGUUUUUUUAAAGGCUAAAACGCACUUUUUGCCCCCUAAGUUUGCAAAAGUUGCAAUUUUGACCCCCUAUUAAAAAAAAUGGCAAAAGUGACCCCUUAUGUUUAGCCCCUUCUGCAAAACCUCAAUUUUGACCCAGUCAAUCCUAUGUGUCAUGCCACCUAAUUUAAAAAUUUGCCAACUAUAUAUUUUUGUAAUUUAAAAUAAAUAGAAAUGCCACAAUGUAUUUUAAUAAUUAAAAAUAAAAUAAAAAAUGAAAGAGCUUUCUUCUUACCAGAUCCAAACGUAAAAACCAUUCCUUACUCACAAAUCAAAAUCCUAAUUAAAAAUCACAAACAAACUAAUGGGUCAAAAUCAUAGAUUUUGAAACUUUCUCAAAAACCCAUCCUUUGUACAAUAACAAUUCAAUUCAGAGAACUUGCUUUCACAAAAAAUGAAGUUUAUCUUCGUGAAAUCAGAAACAAAACAAUUAUUACUUGCUGCUGAUGUUGCUGCAAUUCUGGGAACCUAGAACAAGGGCGGCGGCGUGAGAAUACGAGUUGUUGGAAAGAGAUAGAUCCAAUUCCGAGAGAGAGAUGUUUAAGGUUUUAGAGGGAGUUUUCGUAGAAUUUAUUUAUUGUAGAUAGAUCUGUCAACCACCUCCUCCCUUUUCUUCUUCUCUUUCCGUUCUUUCCAUUCUGUUUUCCUCCAAACUAACCGCCGUUUUCUUUUGCUCUUUAGAUGAGAGAUUUGGAAUCUGCGAUUUGGUUUCAAAGAUGAAAGUUUGAGUUACAGGUAUAUGAGAGAUUUCAGAUUUGUUCAAAGGUUGCUGGGUUUUUAGUUGUAUUUGAUGAAGAAGAUGAAGAAGAGAUGAAGUUCUUCUAGGUUUGUCGCAAGAAGAGAGAUAAAUUACCUUUAGUUUCCUUUUUAAUUAUUUUAUUUAAAUGAAUAAUGUGGUGGAUUUUGUAUUUCAUUUAAAAUUGAAAAAUUGCACAAGUGUCAUCUGAAUCAGCUAAGUUAAAUGCUACCUUUGCGUUGACCUGGUCAAAAUUGAGGUUUUGCAGAAGGGGCUAACCAUAAGGGGUCACUUUUGCCAUUUUUUUUUAAUAGGGGGCCAAAAUUGCAACUUUUGCAAACUUAGGGGGCAAAAAGUGCGUUUUAGCCUUUUUUAAAAUAGAUAGACACAUCUAGGGGUGGACAAAAACCCGCAGCCCGAGAAAACCCGUCCAACCCGAUCUGAAAAAUGAUAAACGGGCGGGUCGAAACGGGUCUACGGGUCCAAGAAAGAGCAUCUUCAGUUUACAACGGGUUGGUACGGGCGGGCCCGGGUAGGAAAAACGGACCCCUCGAUACCCGAACCCACCCGCAGAUGCAUAUCAUGUGAGAGGAGGAUAAUACACACGCCCCAACAGCUGUUUCUCGAACAGUGUGAUAUUCCUUUUCUUUUCUUUUCUUGACAGAGUGAGUGGACAAUGCCUUAUCAGUGGGAUAUUUAAUUCAUUUAAUAGUAUUAUUUUAACUAGGUUUAAUUAAUUGAUGAUAAGAGUAGAUGAGUAGUACACUCUAUAUAGGAAAUAGGGUAGUCAUCAAGUUCAAUUUUUUACUUUUACGAAGCACAAGCUUUGAAUUAAUCCAUAAAAAUAAAAACAAAAGCUCUAGUAUAAUAAAAAAAUGAUGUGAUUUUACUAUGAAACUCUACCAACACCACAGAGAGAUAGACUAUGGUAUCACUCUUUAGAAAAAAUAAAGAAUACAAAUCAUGUGAUCCAUCUCCUUCAUUUCAUUUCAUCUAUAUUCUCCCUUUAAUUUUGAAGGCUUAGCUUCCAUUGUUGUCUAUGUAAAACAGAGAAUUCCAUCAAUUUCAAAUGCCACUGUCUUAGAUCUAUGCAAGAUCUUCUACUCGAUAUGUACAACAAAGAAGAAGAAACCAAACAAUUCAUGAUUUCUUAUGUCCGGAUCUUCCAAAAAGUGUUACCUUCACUUCAAUAAAAAUUAGAGUUGCUGGAAAAAUCACUGAAGGUUUCUCUGCAUCUAACCCGCGUUAACCCAACCCGUGAACCGUACGACCCGUAACCCGCUGAACCCGCAACAAAAAAGGGGUUGAAAUGGGCUUCUGUAGGACACCCGCGGGUUGGGCAGGGUUGGUGUUUUGAGCCCGAACCCGCCCGACGCCCACCCCUAGACACAUCCCUUUGAGACUCAGCAACUUAACACCGUUAGUUUUUUAUUUUUAUAACUAAAAGGGAUACAAAACUUAGGCUAAAGUGCACGCACUUUUUCAUCCAUAACUUUCAAAAACUUGCAAUUUUAAUCCCUUAAGUACAAAAACUACAAUUUUAUCCCUUAAGAUUUAGUCUCAUUGCAAAUUUGAUCCUUUUGAUCAAUUUUGACCUAGUCAACGUCUACGUGGCAGACCACAUCUGUAAUUAAUUAAUUAAAAAAAUUAAAAAACCAAAAAAUGAAUUUUUAAAUUAAAUAAAUGAAAAAAGAAUUAAAAAAUCAGAAAAAGAAUUUUUUUCCUUCCUCAUCUUCUUCCUUCCUUCCUUCCUCUUCAACAUUAUCUUCCUACAACUUCAUAAAAAACUCAAAAACAACUAUAUAGGUGAAAUAUUAUUAUAUAAUAUAUAUUCUUCUUCUUAUGAAAACACCCCUAUCACAUAAUUUCCAGAAUCUGCAUAUCCCUCUCUCUUAGCUCUCUCUUUGUUCCGUAAUUUCCACCGAUUUCAAUUUCGGUUCACAUUUACCAUACAUAUAAAUCAAACUAGUUCCCACAAACACAUCCUGAUCGAAACCACACUUCAAAACCGACUCAUGAACCAAUUUUCCAACCAUAACCCCAAGAAAGUUCAUGUCUGCUAACGGUAAACUUCUCCGUCCGAUUUUCCAACUGUACCAGUUUUGCAGCAAUUUGAAGGAAGGGGGAAGUUGGUGGUAGUUCUGAUAGAUGUUGAUGAAGAUGGACAUGGAGAGGGAUGGCUUUCAAAUAUCACCUGAGAGAAAUGAAUCUUGAGUUGAAUUGAUUGGGUGGAGUUCGGAGAAACGUUAGAGAUGAGGAUGAUUGGAUGGAGUUGUUGAAUUUUCAAUUUGUUUCCUGAUUUUUUAAUUUUUUAAUUUACUUAAUUAAAAAAAUGAUUAUAGGUUUUUUUUAAUUUUUUUUAAAUUCAAUUUACAUAUGUGGCGUGCCAUGUAGGCAUUGAUUAGUCAAAAUUGGUCAAAAGGAUCAAAGAUGCAAAUGGUUAAAUCUUAGAGGGCUAAAAUUUUAGGUUUUGUACAUAGGGGACCAAAAUCACAAUUUUUUAAAACUUAAAAGGGGGAAAGUGCACUUCAGUCUAAGAUUUACUGUGUAAAUUAAGAUACAUUGGAAAUGUAAAGUGAAAAUGGCCAACAACAAUUAAGUGGUUGAUGAGCUUCAAUUGAGUUUGGAUGGAUGGAAUAAUUCUUAGCCAAGUAGAUAUUGCGGAAGAACUUUGGAUUACCAACUUCUCAUUUUAUAUGAGGUGAAGCAAAGGAAGAAAAAUGUAAAAUUUCGAGGGCUUUUCAUAUGAAAAGCAAUCUAUUAGAAAAGGUAAGUAAGUAAUAUGAAAUGCAAUCUAUAGCAGGAAAAAAUGAUGAACAGUUAGCAUAGAUAGGAAAUGACCUGGGCGUGUUUCAAGUUUCAACUAAGUGAGAUAUGAUUGAUUGAUCACCAAAAUGAGAGAAUACAAAAAAAAAAAAUAUAUUGGGAAACGUCAAUACUUUAUUAUUCACAACUACAUUUUUAAAUUGAUAAAAAUGAAGAUAUCACUAAAGUGAUAUCACCAAAAUGAAAAUACUAUAGAAAUUUUAGGGGUCAAACACCCGUAUAGGUCACCUCCCUCUAUGUCGAUCACUAUGUUUUCUAAAGCUCCCCUUGUGGUUGAAGUUGACACCGUUCUCAAAUGCAUUAAAUUAAUCCUAAAGGGACAUCUUGUCGUAGAGAUGGGUUGCGAGCCCAACACCUUUUAGAUGCAUUGUGUGGAGAAGGUUCAACUGUGGCUAGAGAUCUUUUGUGUGAUAUCACUUUAGUGGUUAACCUAUGAUUAGGAGGAAGAUGUGCCUUGAGUUUGGUAGAGUUUGUAGCUUCUUCACCCUUGUCACCAUUGUUAAAUCCUGAUGGUGGAAUACACUCUAUUGCAGUAGGUACUAUUUGGAGGCGUUUGGUAUCCAAAGUUGCUAUGAAAGGAGUUGGUAAAGAUAUGGCUAUCUCAAUGAAUUUCAGUUUGGUGUUAGGGUUUGAAGUGGGGCAGAGGCCAUUUUGCAUAGUGUCAAUAGAGUAUUGAACCUACGACAUGGAGAUGGUUCCUUGACAAUGCUUAUAGUAGAUUUUUCGAAUGCCUUCAACUUGGUAGAUAGGUCAGCACUGCUACGUGAUGUGAGAUUGAGAUGCCCAUCUAUUUCUCUCUAUGGGUUGAGUUUCUUUAUGGCGAAGCAACGAGGUUAUACGUUGGCGGUGGGCAUAUUAUGUCUGCUUCUGGAGUGCAACAAGGUGACCCAUAGGGACGCUCCUUUUUGCUCUUAUGUUACACCCUCUUAUUCAUCAGAUUAGAAAUAGUUGCAAGCUUCUUCUUCAUGUUUGGUAUCUUGAUGAUGGGACUCUUGUAGGGGAUUCAAAGUAGGUGGCUAAGGCUUUGGACAUCAUUCGAGUUUUUGGACUAGAAUUGGGUCUGGUAUUGAAUAUUCGUAAGAUUAAGAUCUUUUGGCCUUCAUGUGAUGGUAAUCAGCAUCGCGAGGGGUUUUUCCCUAUGGAUAUUGGGAGGCCGUCAUUGGGGGUGAAAUUGUUUGGAGGGGUUGUUAGCUGAGAUAAUGGUUUUAUCGAGGGGUUGGUCAUGAAGAGAGUUUCCAGUGUUGUUGAGUUAAUGCAACUUCUUCCACAGUUACGAGAUCCUCAGAGUGAGCAUCUUCUACUUCGAUCAUGCAUGGGUAUCGCCAAAAUUUUCUUUGACCUAAGAACGUGCCAACCGAUUCACAUGGAGGAGGCGAUUGUGUUGUUUGAUAAAGAGUUGUGUGGAGUGGUUGAGGAUAUUGUGGUUUAUUGAGGUCCAUUCUUUGGGGACCUUCAAUGGAGGUUGGCUUUUUUACCUAUUAGGUCUCGGGGGUUGGGUUUAUACUCACUAGUAGAGGCUUCCUCGUACGCUUUUGUGGCUUCUAGGGCGCAGUCUGUUGAAACAAAAUGUGUUUAACAUUACCACCUUAAGUUUUAAUGAUAACAAAGUAUUAAAAAGUCAAUUGGAUAUGCUAAUAUGAAGGUGACAAAAACACAAGAAGGAGAGUUGAAUUGUGGUUUCUUUUUCUUUUCUCCUACUGAAGUCACUGUUCAGAAGCAGAUAGAGUUCAGCUUCUGAAGUGAGGUUCAGAAUCUAAAUGCAGCAGAUAAGUAAUGAGAGAGAGAGAGAGAGAGAGAGAGAGAGAAGAAAGACACAAAUCAAUUAUACAGGUUCCUUCCACAAACCGGAAGUAGUUUCUGUCCCCCUUGCACUUCCAAGGAGAUUUCACUAAAAUCAAUAUUUGAUUACAACAGCUCACUGCUAAAACUAGCAAGAGACUUGAAACUACUCAAUCACAACUGCAAGAGAUUUCCUAUGCUCAAGAACAAAAUCAAGAGACUUCGUAUGCUCAAGCACAACUACAAGAGACUUAUAUUCAAAUAGAAUUACAAAGAAAGAUGUUUGAGGUUGAACACUUGAUAUAUAAUCAGUGAUGUUCACAAUACAAAUCAGAUACAUACUCUUAAGACUCUAGAAUUUCUAAGAUAUAAAAGUUGAUAAGAAAUUCUAAGUGAACUUUGAUGUGAAACAAUUUCAGCAGAGUGUUGACACUUGUAAAAUUGUUGUGAGUCUCUUUUAAAUCUUCAAGUCUUCACUCCUUUAUAUAGAGGUGUGAAAGAGACGUUGUUGAUUGUCAGCACAUCAAAAAGAGUUGUUUGAAGCUUGAUCAAAUCACCAAUGAUCUGUUGCUUGAUUUGGUUAUUGUCCUAUGAAGGAACAAUUUCAAAUUCAUUCCAAGAAUAGAGGAAUACCAGCGUAGUCACAGCUAUUGUUCUUGUACUAUUGCAGACACAAAAAUAGAGUAAUGGAGGUAGUGGUAGUACAAUUGUACUAUUGUCCUUUUCCAACGUUCUUCAAAGAAUAAGCAUCCAAUGCCUUUAAAAUUCCUCUGAAUUAGCCGUUGCUCCAGGCUUCUCCAAAAAAUGUGCUUGAGCAUUUGUAAUCAAAUAUUGAUUUUAGCGAACUCUCCUUGAUUUGUAUUGCUUUUAUUUGAAGUCUAUAUAGGUCCUAAUUUGGAGUGGAAUUUUCUCAAUCUCAAACCAAAAAGAAGUGUCAAUUGGUGAUUUAGUUUCUCAUAUAGGUCCUAAUUUGAAGUGGAAUUUUAUUUGGAGGAGAGAGUUUUUUGUGUGGGAGGGUCAUCUUUUCGCAAGUUUAUUGGAAGACUUGGAGGGUGUGAGUUUGUCUCAAGAGGAGGAUCUGUGGAGUUGGAACUUGGAAGAGUGUGGGAUUUUCUCGAUGAAAUCGGCCUACAAGAAAUUGGACGGUUUGAUGUCGUCGGAAGUCUUGUGGGGUGAGGAGGAAAAAGGAGUGUUCAAGUCAUUGUGGAAGAGUCCAGCGCCUUCAAAGAUGAUAGCUUUCUCUUGGAAGAUUUUGCUUAAUCGUAUUCCGACCAAAGACAAUCUUAGUUUGAGGAAUAUUUUAUCCGGAGGUUUCACGGUCUUGUGUUUUAUGUGACGAAAGGGAGGAAUCAGCAAUUCAUAUUUUCCUUCAUUGUAAGGUGGCGAGUGGGGUGUGGUUGGAGGUUAUCCGUUGGUUCGGCUCCUCUUUUAUUAUGCCUCCGAAUAUCUUCAUUCAUUGGGAGUGUUGGAGUGGUAUUCAUAGAAACAAGAAAAUCCGGAGGGGACUGUAGCUUGUUGGCUCACCACAAUUUGGGUGUUAUGGAAUGUUAGAAAUAAUAAAAUCUUCAAAGAUUUAAAUUGGGAGGCUGGAGAAAUAGUGGAUGAAAUAAAAGUGGUCUCUUGGAGGUGGAUGUUGUCUUGGAUAAAAUAUAUGGCAUGUUUAUACUAUGAAUGGAGGUGGAAUCCUAAAGAAUGCCUUUUGAGGUAAAUGGAGGUUAGCUGCUGUUUGUGCUGAAGGAGGUUCAUGUAUGCUGUUUGUGAUGCUGUUUGCACCUUCUGUUUUUGGUUUGGCAGGCUCCUUUAGCUGUUCAGUGCUGGGCUGCUAUCUGCUGGUCCAUGCAGCGGCUAGCUGUGUUACGGAUCAGCUUCUGUGCUGCUUUUGGACCACCUGCUUUUGCUGUUAAGGUUUGGGGAGGGGUUUUCUGGGAGUUUUUUUUACUGAUAUGAGCUCUUUCCCCUCAAUUAGGAGGUUUUGUGCUGUUGGGUGUUAGGUGGUUUUGGGAAGGGCGUUUUGGACGUUCCUUUUAUAUAUGGUUUGGGUGGUCACCGUUGGGUGUUCCACAUAUUUACGGCACCUUGUAUUUAUCGCUUUUCUGUCCAAGUUUGUGGUUUCUUUACACAUUCUUUGGCUUAAUAAAUUUGGUUGUUUCAAAAAAAAAAAUUGACAACUGAAGCAGGGAAAUUGCAUUUUACAGAUUAAUCCAAAGUUAGCAAACUCAAAGAUGUCAAAUUCAAAAACUUGUCUGUGAAGACAGAAUAUGGGGUUGUAAUUACUUUUGUUCUUCAGCUGCAUUCUCUACUCACCACUGAUGAUGAGACGGCUGGGAGAUCUCACCAGCAGGACCAGCAUUUAUCAAUCUGCAAAGAGCAGUACACACAGGUCAGAGGGAUUUCGUAAAGUGACUCGAGAGAGAUAUGAUCAAUGCUUAUAUCUUGAAUCCUGAUUCGUCAUUGUUGGCUCUCUUUUUAGGCAGUUCACCUAGAUGGAUAUUGUUCUUAACACUAUGCAAAAUCUACAACCAAAACUUUUAGUGAUCAAAUCUAUAUAGUUGAUCGAAAGGAGAUUAGAAGGCUUGAAAUGGUUGGGGUAGUGAAGGCACCUUUGAGUUACAACGGGAGAAUCGAAGCAACAAAUCUAUUGCAGCAAUAUAUAGUCAUAAAAACAAGUUUAAAGAAGAAAAUGAUUGUUUGCUUGUCUGUUGGAGUGAUAGACUGCUAUCAACCUGGAAUUUUAGGAGAUGAAGUUGAUAUAUAUGUUGGAAUAUAUGAAGGUCACCUUGCAUCGUUUUGAAAGAUGAAGUUGAUAUUUAUGUUGGAAUUAAAAGACUGUUAUAUCAAUUUGAAAAAUAUGAAUAAGUAAAAUUUGAAAAUGAAGAAUCCCAUCGGAUGGUUUUAAAUAAUUUGUGCUAAUAAUUAAUGAAGCACUUAAAUUAGAGGCUCAAGAAGCUGUAUGUUAUGCAAAACUUAUGAUGAUGAUUAUCUAUUUGACGUAUAACAUGAAUAUAGCAGAGAAAAAUGAGAAAAUUCUUUCCGGCAGCCACCGUUUCUGUAUUGGGGCUACAUCAAUCGAGAGAGCCAAAACGACAAGUAUAUUUUAUUUUUAAUAUGCCGGUGCAGAAUAAUAACAGCCACAAGAAAUUUGAUUAAAUCAUUGUCGAUAUUAGAGAUAAAGGCAAAGCUGCCUUAAUAUUGUGUUAGAAUCUGAUUAACAGAACCUAAACUAGUUCAAUAGUCUUAAUCUAGCAUUAGUGAUCUAAGUACAGCUGCCAUAUCCAUGUAAGCCAGCUGUCCUAUAUAUACUAGUGAGCCCUUUGUAUUCUGAUUCAGAUUGAAUAAUACAAUACAGUUACACAUUCAGUUACAACUCUCUCUCUCUCUCUCUUCUCUCUCACUGUGUUCAAGGUUCUUCCACAUUCAUCAAUGACGGAAUUCUAACAGUUCAACUAUGAUUAGAAAAACCAAAUUUCACUGGUAACAAAGUGACAUAACUUUCAAUUUUUUUAUUUUCUACAAUAUUUUGUACCACUUCUUUCUAACAAUAAAAAGUAAAACUGAAAAUCACAGUUAAAGGUCAUAUCCUCACCUUAUAAUUGGUAGACGCAAGUUAUUCUCAAGCCUCUUUUUUCAAGUCUCAUGUUUUCUGGGAACCUGAAAUCACAAAGUCACAAGAAUAUUAAAGAGAACUCGAAAAAGGGAUACAAAAUCACAAGAAUAACAAAGAGAAGAUUAUAUGGUGAAUUAUAUUAAAAAGAAUUACAUGUGCAAUAAACCUCCGCGUCAACAUAUCCAAAUGCGGGGCCUACAAUUGGACCAUGCAUGAGCUUUGUGGAAGUGGAACAAACAGCGACAUCCUUCUGGUUGUGCAUGAGAGCGGUGGUCAUGCCAUUGAUCUGGUCAUGAAUGAUAAUGGAUGCCAACAAAAGAGCAUGGUUUCAGGUCACGAUGACAAUAUAUAUCACAAAAGGCAUGCAUUGUUCAAAAUAAAACACAGUACGUUAUGCAUAAUUUUUACUAUUCGAAAGGAAAUUUACUAAUGUUUGACAACUAUAAACAGAUUGGUGAAUGUUGUGCACCUGUCUACAAUAAAAUCUGAUCUCAGCUGCCAAUCAGGAAAUUAUCACAUAAGGGAUGUGAGAAAUUGUAUGCCAAUGCUCGCCUUGCUCCUUUUGGUACAGCUGCUUAAUUAAUGGACAAUCAUGAAUCGACAAAGUAGAAAGGGAGCUGGGUAGACCCUCCUCUGGCAAGCUAUCAAGACAAGGACAAUCUUCAAUAUAUAGAGAUUCAAGUGAAGUGAGGUGGAGAAGACCCUUGUAGUUUAUUUUUGUUAGGUUUGAACAAUUUGUCAACUCAAGAGAGUUAAUAGUUGAUGGCAGCAUACUCUCCUCUGGAAAGGAUUCGAAGAUUUCAAAAUCGUCACUAAGAGUGAAUUGUUUCAGAGAUUUGAGUUGGAACAAACCCCACUCCUCUAUUGAAGCCAUCAAAUUAGGGCAUCUUUCUAUCCGGAGGCUGCCUAGGUUGCAAGGCAACUGCCUCCCAAAAAACGAUUCCAGCCAUGGACAAUCGUACAACACGAGAGAAUUAAGAUUGGUGAACAAGUGUAGUGCAAAAGGCAAGGAAGAAGAGUGCCAACCUGUUAUAGUUAGAGUGCAAAGGGAAUAACAGCUACACACAUGCAAAGAGGACCAUUCCAUAUUUCGACCAAAGAAGUCUUCAACUUCCAACUCUUCAAGAAAGGCACUAUUAAUUAGAACUUUCUCUAGGGUGGAUUCAAUGACGUGAGUGCCACAAAGGAUGGCCGUUUUCAAGCUUGAUGGCAAUUCAUUUAUCAAAAUGCCAUCACAUCUCUUUAGUUCUAUAUCACUGAUAUUAGCAGCCUUUGGAAUUAAAGCCUCCAACUCUUCGCAAUCAAUAAUCUCCAACUUUUGCAAACAAGGAAGAUGAUGAGGCAGGGCACUUUUCAACUUGGGACAUUGUUUUAGACAAAGCUCUUGAAGCAGAGGGAAACCUUCAAGGCAUAACCAUUCCUUCCAUUCAGACAUAUACUCAACCCGCAAAGUUUCAAGGGAUCUAAAUGCAACAUUUGAUGAAUUAUAGCCGCAAAACUCUGAACCAAUGAUCUUUAUUCCAUGACAGCCUGAAAUGGAAAGCUUCUUGAGAGAAGGGAACUUCCCAAGUGGUGGCAACUGGGAACAAUGUUUACAUCCCACUAAUUCAAGAGAUACUAAAUUUGGUAGAUUAAGAUCCCCAAGCCAAUUUGGAAAGCUACUACCUCUGUAGUCAUUGAUGGUGAGCCUCAUGAGGUUUCUAUUAGGUUGAAGAGCCUCCAAGACCGAUACACGUGCUUCAGUUUCUGAGCCAUCCAUUUCUCUCCAUUCAUCAUACGACAAACUUAAUUCUUCUAAAUGUUUCUUCUCUUUCAAAUUUGCUGCCAUAGCAACUGCUGGAUCCGCCACGUUUUUCAACCCUGAAAUUCGAAGCCUUCCUUUAAGGUGGUUGAGUUCUGCCAACUGCUUAAUAUCAUAUCCAUGUUGCUCUUCCACAACAAAAUCAGUCAGCAUCUCAAGAUUGAUUAAUUCUCUUAUCUUCUUUGGCAUCUUCUUAAUAUGCGUGCCUUUCAAAUUAAGAUGACAUAAAUUGAUGAGAUUGUGAAAAUUUGAUGGGAGCUCAGUCAGUUUAAAACAUUCUUCCAGUAAGAGUGUAUGCAAAUUAUACAACAUACAAAUGGAAUCAGGUAAACUUGUAAUCUCGGUGUAAGAAAGGUCUAGAUAGCGCAGAAGCUUUAAGUUUCUUAUCUCAUCAGCUAGCUCUAAGAGAUUGCAACCAGAGAAAGACAAUAUCCGCAAAUAUUUUAGUCUUGAAAACAAACUCUGCUGCACAUUGGUGGAUAUCUUAAAGCGUUUCUCACCAUAUCCUUGUUCUUCUACCAUCAGACUCUGUAGUCCUUUAAUGUUAUGAAUCUGCUUUAGUUUUCUAUCACCAUCUUCCAAAUCAAGGCGGCACCAAAUGUGACGUGUCCUUUGAGGGAUAUCUUGCACUUUCACACCCUCUAUUCGUAAGCAGAAUUCUCCUGACAUUGAUGUCGCUAAAUCAUUGAUAAGAUCAUGCAUGAUGAAAUAGUACUUACCAGCCCAGAAUGGCAUAAUCGCUGAUGGUUGGAAAAAAGACAUUGACACUAGAUCAUUGAAGAAUUUAUUACCCAACUCUUCUUCUUUUUUGGUUAUUCCCUUUAGCAAACCUUUUGCCAUCCAAAGCUUGAUUAAUUCACCCUUUUCAAACUCAUAACCCUUGGGAAAUAUAGAACAAUAAGCAAAACAAUGCUUCAGAUUGGAAGGGAGGCUAAGGUAACUCAUUCUCAAAGCGGAAUAAAUGUUGCUGUUGUCACCCUUGGGUAAACGCCACAAAUCAGUCUCCAAUAUCUUAACCCAUUCAUUUUCAGAGAACUUUCUUUGCAAGAGAAUCCCCAAUGUUUUCAGAGCUGAAGGCAACCCCCCACAUUUUUCUACUAUUUUCUUGCCGAUCGAUUCAAGAUUUGGAUAUUCAAACAUAUUCCUGCCUUCAAAAGCAUGUCUUACAAAUAAAUUCCAAGAGUCACUCUCCUCCAAUUGCCUUAGAUGAAUUAUCCGGGUGGAUCUCAUGACUGAUGCUACUUCUUUAUCAUUUGUCGUCACAAUCAUUUUGCCUCGAAUGUAUCCCUGGUUAAAAAGAAGUAGUAAACGCUCCAACAUAUUCCUAUUUUUAAUCCAGGCAUCAUCUAGAACAAGUAAAUAUUUAUUCCCUGCUAGCCAUUUUUGCAGUUGAUGAUUGAGUAUUUCUUUGUUGAGACGAAGACAAUCAAAAGAUUCAUCAGAAACAUGGACCCAAGCUUUAAAUUCAAACUGCUCCUGUAUCCUAUGGUCAUUGUAAACAAGCUGGGCAAGGGCUGUCUUACCCAUCCCCGUCAGACCCACUAUACUGAUUAUGGAUACCUGGUUUCGGUUGUAACUGUCUGAAAGUAAAAAUUUGAUUAUUUCCUCUUUUUCACGUUCUCUACCAUAUAUGAUAGAUUCAGCCAUGAAUGAAGUAGCGAAACCGCUGGCUCUUUCUUCAUAUAAAUAAUUAGUAAACUCUUGAAGUUCCAAUCUAGAUUUUUCCAUUGCAAGAAACUCUAGCCUCUUAAGCAAUACUUUAAUCCUAGAUUCAAAUCGAUUGAUAGAACCUGAAAGAAAGCGUUGUAUCUUUCCCUUUUGUUGUGCGGCGUCAGUAGCAAUGACAUCCAAUAGUUGUUCCAAUUCGUAUACCUCAUUACUCACAUCAUCAAGCCAACACUUCACGCCUAGAUCCUCGUACUGCUUUGUCUCUGCGUCAUCUAGUACUAGAUUGAUAAAAUUCAGUGUGGUUUCAAGUUUAUUCACAAGCCCUUUGUCGAAGUAGUCUCUGAAAUCUGUUGAAGCUAAACUCUUACAAAUCAAUCGAAUCACAGGGGAAAGAAAUGCCCCACCAUGAAAAACAUCUUCCAUGAUAUUCAUUAUUUUAAUCUUAACUAAAAAAGCACAAAAAGCACAAGGGAAAGCCAUUAAUUAAAGAUAUGAUCAAUAAUUCAGCUGCUACCGCAUGAGCAUAAGUAAUCACAAGAAAACAUUCUAUAAAUAACAGGUGGAUAUAUAAUUAAAAUCUUAUAUCAAACUUUGAUAUAAAAAAUAAAAUGUUAAUGUUCAAUGAAACAGUAGAAAAUGAAGAAACAUUUGGAAGAAAAUAUUACCUCUAGAAUUAAUGAAGAAACUUUGAUUUUUUUUUUUUAAGGCAAAUAUUAGUGUACUUGGUCAACAGGAUGAGUGUUACGAAGCUACUUGCAUAUAGGUGGAGCCAUCUGGUAGCUGAAACAGUGUUAUCUACUGGGGAGAGGGUGAUUGGUCCAGAUUGCCAGCUGUGUGGCUUCCCUAGAACCAGUCACCAGGCUGAUUGUGAGAUGUGUGAUAAGGUGGCCUAUUUUGAAGAGGCUCACACAGCCAGCGGGCUUUCCAGUUCGAUCCAAUAGCUCAAACACACCAGGAAAAUACAAUUUUGCCCCCAACAAUAGCAUUCUGUCGUCCGGCCUAUGCUGCAACGGUAGUUACCUAUCAUUGUCCCAGCGGCAGUUAGCUACUGUUGCUGUCAGUUUUGCAGACAAUGCUUGCUGUAAAUUCAACCAAGCCAAAAUGUGGUUACAUAAGGGAUUUCCACCAAAUUGCCAAAAUGGAUCAGCAUGCACAUACUCACUUGGAUUUCCACCAACAUCUUUAUGUAUAGCAAUUGUGUUACAAAAAAUAACCAAGUCUGUUCAGCUUCUCAACAUUACAGAAAAGAUGGCUUCCAUGGCAUGGAUUGCACCCAUCAUUGGUGUGCCGCAGGGGUUCCAGAUAGUUGGAAUGACAUUUUGUAUGCGUCAAUCAUGAGCUGGAAUUAAUUGAUCACCAAUCAGCAAUGGUUUACAUGGAUGUUACAUUUUGCAUAGUCCAUGAGAAAACUUUAUUACCAAUAAAAGGAGAUAUUAGGACAUCUUAUUUGAAACAAUUCAAACUCCCAUUAUUGAUGAAAAUAUAACCAAAAUAAAAUUUUACCUCAAUUAAGUUUGGAUAUUUUUGUAUCUCUUCAAAAUUGCUGUAAUUGGAAGGUUUGAAUCUAUUAUGUUCCUUAAUUUGGGAUAUGCUCAAGGUUCGAAGAGGAAAACACUUUCACUCGAAUUCAGCCAUGUUUCUUUUGACAAGAGUAAUUUAUCAGCAUAGAUUAAAAAUGUUGAUGUCAAACUAAGCAGUGAUGGUGUAUAAAAAUUCAGUGACAAGAAUAUAAAAAGAUGGGCUUCCAUAGCAAAACCGACAAUGAUUUACUCUCAAAUUAAUUGAUAUACUUCAUAACAUUGUUCUUCUAAAAGCUCAUCUAAUAAUAUAGAGCUUUGCUAUUUUAUGUACCAAAAUUUCACUACAGAAUUUUACAAAUUAAGUGAAUAGCUUACAAUGCACAAAGGAAGGAUAAUCCCGAAAACCGUUCAUAAGGAUAGAAAAGUAACUCUACUUCAAUAAUUGCAUUUCACGCGAGUCUUAUUUUUAUUUAAUUUUUUUUUGCCAAAUUUUAGCAUUUUCCAAUGGAAUAAAAUUUUGAUUUACACAAAACACUAACAAUGAAUCUGAUCACAAGAAAACAAUAUUAGAAUCAAUUACUUGUCAAGAAUCAAAUUGCAUGUUAUAUACCUAUCAUGUAUCUAUGGAAUUAGUUUAUCCUAAUCAAAAAGAAAAAGGCUAUUUACACAAAUAGUUAGUCCAAAUAAACCCUUCAAUCAUCUGCAACCGCCAGGUUGUACUUUCUUGCCAAAGUAUGGGCAGUUUUGUCAUCCAUAAUGCCAUCAAUCAUCCUAAACUUUUUGUAAUGCACUUUAAGAGUUUCAGCCUGCUGGGCUGCCAACUUCUCUUCUUCUUUUAGCAGCACCUAAAAAAAUGCACUUAGAAUAACUUAACACAGAAUCUCUCAUAGAAUACAUCAACAAACAUAAUUUUAAUCAGUGGCAGUACAUGAGUUAAUAUAAAGUGUUGCUAAAUAGUGGCUUUAGCUACAAUAUAGCACUAUAGGGCAGUGGAAUUUGAAUAAACCGUUAUAAUCUGCGAUCCGGAUUGACUACAAUGCUUUUAAUGAUUUAACAAGUCAGUUUGGCACCACAGAGGUGACUAGAUGAUCUUCCAUACAAAUUAAAAUAAGAGUGUGUGUAAUCUACUACGAAGCAAUACCAUUUAGAGUUCAAACAUAUAUACUAUCAACUGUUAAAAAAUAUGAAAAAAGUGAGUUCUUCAGCCAGAAGAAGUAAAAGGAUGCAUUUUGAUUUCAGUUUUUGCAUCAGUAAUAUACAAUUUUUUUUUAGGGAGAGGGUUUUUUUUUACUUCAACUCUCCCAAAACAAACACAUUUUAAACAUGAGUGCUUCCUUCCAGUAAUUUCCUCUCACAGAACAAUGUCAGGGUAUGGAUUAUACAGAGCAAACUGGCUUCACAUGACAUAUGGUAGUGAUAAAACAAAUCAACCGAUGUAACAACCAGUUUCUUGAAAAUAAAUAAAAUAAAUUAUCACAAUCCUGUAUUAACAAAUCAACCGAUGAUCCAAACAGUUUUUUGAGUUCCACCUCCUCGUAGAAUUUGAAAUCCAUAGUUUCUGAUAUUUUUGAUAUGAAAAGACCAUUUUUUUUCCAUCUCGACAUUUUGCCUAUUUAAAAUGGAUACAAAGUCAAAAGAAUAACAAAGUGUAUAUGGUGAAUUAAAUUAAAAAGAAUUACAAGCGCAACAAGUCUCCGCGUCCACACAUCCAAACGUGGGGCCUGCAACUGGACCAUGCAUCAACUUUGUGGAAGUGGAACAAACAGCCACAUCCUUCUGGUUGUGCGAGAGGGUGGUCAUGAAUGAGAAAGGUUUCAGGUCAGAUGUAAGCAGACAGAAACACGAUUGCAAUAUGUAUCAAAAAAGGCAUGCGCUUUUCAACAUAAAACACUGUAUGUUAUCAUUGUUUUUACUAUUCAAAUGGAAAUUUUCUAUAAACAGAUUGGUGAAUGUUGUGCACCUGGCUACAAUAACAUCUCAUCUCAGCUGCCAAUCAGGAAAUUGUCACAUAAGGAAUGUGAGAAAUUGUAUGCCAACGCUCGCCUUGCUCCGUUUGGUACAACUGCUUAAUUAAUGGACAAUCAUGAAUUGACAAAGUAGAAAGGGAGCUGGGUAGACCCUCCUCUGGCAAGCUCUCAAGACAAGGGCAAUCUUCAAUAUAUAGAGAUUUGAGUGAAGUGAGGUGGAGAAGACCCUUGCAGUUUAUUUUUCUUAGGUUGGGACAAUUUGUCAACUCAAAAGAGUUAAUACUUGAUGGCAGCAUACUCUCCUCUGGAAAGGAUUCCAAGAUUUCAAAAUCAUCACUAAGACUGAAUUGUUUCAG
This 20645-nucleotide long non-coding RNA is filed under the name Medicago truncatula (barrel medic). RNAcentral's name for it is "long non-coding RNA (MTRU_LNC000230)". The record is from RNAcentral. Lineage: Eukaryota; Viridiplantae; Streptophyta; Magnoliopsida; Fabales; Fabaceae.